RNAcentral lists this long non-coding RNA (2713 nucleotides) under Triticum aestivum (bread wheat). RNAcentral describes it as "long non-coding RNA (TAES_LNC017527)". Lineage: Eukaryota; Viridiplantae; Streptophyta; Magnoliopsida; Poales; Poaceae. The record is from RNAcentral.
ACGUCAAGAUUCUUAUCCAUGUGUUCCCGGUUUCUCUCAAUCGCGCAUGUUAAGUUGCUAACAUUUUGCCCCCAAUCAAAACUGAGGUCUAAAACAUACUACUCCCUCCGUCGCGAAUUAAGUGACGCAGGAGAGAAAUAUUUUGCACUAAUGUCAAUUUUACACUACAGUCCAGUACAUUUUAAAUUCUGACUUCAAGCUCCCCAGCCCCCUCGCGAUCCCCAGCACCUCGCCGGGGUAGGAUCUCGCCAGCACCUCCUCUUCCAGCGAGCUCACCUCAAGCUCCUGCUGGCGCCCCUCAGUUCUCCCUCCUCAAGCUGCUCGCGCUCAAGGCGCUCAAGGAGCUCAAGGCCCUCAAGCUCGCACUCCAGGAUCUGCUCGCCGGAGGUCCUUCUCCCCUGCCGCCGGUGGAGCUCCCUCCUCAAGCUCCCUCCUCAAGCUCCCUCAAGGUCCCGCUGCACGUUGGAGCCCCUCCCCGCCAGGAUCCUACUCGAACUCCAGGCUCUGCUCACCAGAGCUCCUUGUACCCCUGUCGCCGGUGGAGCUCCUGCUCCCCUUGCCCCACGGACCCUGCAAUUCACCGCACCUCCACCACACUCCAGGGUCCAGGCUGCUGCUGAACUCCAGGCUCCAGGCUCCUGCUGCUUCUCCUCGGCCACACCUGCAAUUCUUCUUGUGCAAAUUUAGAAGCAAUUUGAUGAUUCCAGCAGUAGCUCAAUUCUAGAGGUAUUCAAACUUUCCCUAACAUGAAAAAAUGGUUGCAUGCCUAAUUCAGAUGCAAGUUGAACAAGGAUUGACAAGACAAGUGGCUGGUAUAGUGAUAGCCCUGUUCAAGAAUUCGUCCGAUUAACCAGUUAACUUGUCGGUUAAUCCCUACUCAUGGGGUCACCGAGUAGCCGAUAAACUGAUAAAUCGUCCAAUUAAUUGAUUAAAUGACCGAUUAACUUGCUGAUUAGCCUAUUAAUCCCCUACUCGCCAGCCAACCGAGCAGCUACCAGUUAACGAUUUCCUCAAGAAUGAGUGAUAGUCAAAUUUAUGUUUGCUCGGCAAUCAAAAAGUGGAUCUGUUACAACAAUUUUCAAAGAGCCUAUGGUUCCUUUUUUCUGGAGUAUGAACAUUGAUGUUAUUCUCAAACACGAAAACCAGAAAUCAGCAACUUUAUAAAGACAUGUGUAGCCAGACGGGUGCAAAAAUGUUAAAAACCAGAAAUCAGCACCAUUCAAGUUCAUUCUACUCUUAGUUUAACACAAUGCCCUGCAGAUAAAAGAGAGAAAUAUGAAGGCUAAUUUGAAUUCUGCAGCUCAGACAUUACUGAAAGAAUACAUGCUGACCAUCUGGGCAUCAGGAAGAACAUAUAGAAGGAUACAACCACAAUACAAAUUGCUUGUCUGCACCUUGCAUGAACAUGUGGGAGAAUUUGACAACUGGAUUAUUUCAUUCCUUACACUAGACAUGACAGAUGAGUACACGACGGAAGCAAGAGAACAGUUGUAAUUUGUGAUUUGGACAUGCUUGUUAAAGUCAUUCAUGGAAAUAUGUCUAUAAAUUAGUAAAGGUAGAUUACCGGCAGCGAAGGAAGCAAUUUUCACCUUCAAAUGGCCUUGAUGUAUCCUUUCACCUUCAAAUGGUCUUGAUGUAUCCUUUCACCUUCAACCAAAUGAUCUGUUGUGUACACAGAAACAUUAGCAAUUUCUACUCCUCAUUUUUAGCGGACUGGAUCAAUUUUGUUUUUCUUCCUUAACAGAUUAUUACUCCAGCAGUUUGAAGCAACUGUUUCAAGCAGCAGUAGCAGCACAUACCUGCAAUAGCAACAGCAGCCAUGAACACCACCACCACCACCACCACCAGCAGCAACACCAGCACCAUCAGUAACCAAAACAUACCUGCAGGUAGUUUUCAAAACAUUCAGUUAAAUUUACUGUAAAAAUUCAGUAAACAUAUAGUAAAAUUUACUGAUUUGAUUUAACUGAGUUAACUGAGUUUUCAGUGUGGUUUUUCAGUAAACUGUUUAACUGAAAUAGCUAGAUGACUCUUUGCAUGAUUUAACCUCUACUUGCAAUGGCUAGAUGACUUACCCUUUGCUCCUUAUUUAACAGGAGACGAGAUGUUGCUGGAUGAGGAAGAAGCAAUUCAUCAGGAAGCAAUAAGAAUAACUUCAGUGAACCUGUCAGAUGAGGAAAGAUUGCUGUUUAUUUUGCUUUGAAAGUGAUCAAGAGCAGAGAUGGAGCUAUUCAGCCAGAGGACAAGAUACUCAUUGCAAGCCUAAUGAAUACAGGCAUACGAACGGUUGAAAGAAUAUGGAAAGAUGCAAAUAAACAAAAUGUAGAAGGCAAAGAAGUGGUUGUCGCAAGGAAAAAAUCAGGUAGAGUUGGAAGAAAGAGAAAGAACUUGGAUCUGUCAAGGGCAUCGACAAUCCCACUCAACAGAAGGAGAACAGUUCGAGCUCUAGCAAGGUCUCUUGGUAUUCCCCGCUCGACCCUACACAGGAGGUUCCAGUUAGGUGAGCUGAAGCGUGUCACUAGCACCGUGAAGCCUACCCUCAAGCCAAAUAAUAAGAUUGCAAGACUGAAAUUUUGCACGUCCAUGCUCGAUGAGCUUUGGAUCUCAACUUCACGUCCUCUUUUCAAGCCAAUGACAGACAUGGUCCAUAUAGAUGAGAAGUGGUAUGAUAUGACAAGAGUGAAGAAUACGUACUAUCUACUCCCAGAAGAAC